GGGUUGCGACCGUCGAUCUUCCGAUUUGUGCAAUCCUCUAACCUCCAAACCUACCGGAAGGUGGUGGAUCGCGCGCUCAUCGUGGAGAGCGGCGCGACGGAUGUCCAGCAGCGGCGAGAGGCUAUGGACAAGGGUAAGGCCAAGAGACUUGCGGCUGAGGGUGCGAGCCAGACGCACUCUAGGAGGCCGUCGAAGCAUCCUAAGAGUGAGCAGCGUGGGCGUGGCUUGGCGACUCACCGUGGAGGUUCUGACCGAUGCCGGCCUCACCAGUGCGUGAUCUGUGGUGGUGCCCACAUUCCACCGCAGUGCCCGCAGCGGGGAGGGAGGUGUUUCCAGUGUGGCCAGGAGGGCCACUUCCGGACCGAGUGCCCGAGGGGUUUGUCACCGGCACCGUCAUCAGCAUCGGCAUCGGCUCUACCAGCCGCCAGCCACGGGACUCUAUCAGCCCAGUACCAGCCUAGGCGGCCACACGUCCAGUGCUAGAGUGAGGGUGCUCGACAGGCCCCGAGUGGACGUAUGUAUGCCGCUCAGACCGAGGAGGCGGCAGCAGCGGAGGAUGUGGUCGUAGGUAUCAUUUUAUUUGAUGGCAUUAGAGUUCGUGCAUUAUUUGAUACCGGUGCAUCGCAUUCAUUCAUAGAUCGGCUGUUUGCCGAGUUGCAUGGCAUCCCUAUGCUUUCUUUGUUGCAGCCGGGACGUGUAGUUGUCCCCGACCACUCUUUGGAUAUUAGAGAGUAUUGCCCCAGUUGCCCUAUUCGGAUAGGAGAUUGGGUUAUGCCUGUGGACUUACUAGCCUUGCGCAAGCUGGGGGAAUUUGAUGUGGUCUUAGGCAUGGAUUGGCUAACCAAGUAUUAUGCCACGAUCGAUUGCAAGAAUUGCACGGUUACUUUUAGAGAACCGGGACAGACGGAGGUUGUGUUUAGAAGAUGCCAGAGUUCGCUUUUUGCGAUGACGAUCAGCUCGUCUCGAGCUAGGCAGCUGAUCAGUAGAGGCUGUGUAGCCUACUUGGCUAGUGUUGUGUUGAGGGGCGAGAGUGAUACCCCUAGGAUUGAGGAUAUCGCGGUAGUGCGGGAGUUUUGUGAUGUGUUUCCAGCUGAGCUACCGGGUAUGCCACCCGAUAGGGAGAUCGAGUUUGUGGUAGAUCUCGUCCCUGGGACUACUCCAAUCUCGAAAGCGCCUUAUAGGAUAGCACCGGCGGAGCAGAAGGAGCUGAGGGCACAGCUGCAGGAUCUUCUGGCUAAAGGCUACAUUCGACCGAGCGUCUCGCCUUGGGGAGCACCAGUUUUGUUCGUCAAGAAGAAGGACGGAUCACUUCGCCUAUGUGUGGAUUAUCGUGAACUUAAUAAAAUCACGAUCAAGAAUAAGUAUCCGUUGCCGAGAAUUGACGACUUAUUUGAUCAGCUUCAGGGAUCGUGUGUGUAUUCCAAGAUCGACUUGCAGUCGGGAUACCACAAAUUAAAGAUCAAACCCGAGGAUGUAUUGAAGACGGCUUUUAGAACACGGUAUGGACAUUAUGAGUUCACUGUUAUGCCGUUCGGGCUUACUAAUGCCCCGACAGCUUUUAUGCAUCUAAUGAACAGUGUUUUUAAACCUUAUCUAGACAGGUUUGUCGUGGUGUUCAUCGACGACAUUCUGAUUUAUUCCCGAAGUGAUGCAGAUCACGAGAAGCAUUUGAGGCUUGUACUCCAAGUACUUCGGGAAAAUGAGCUCUAUGCCAAGUUGAAAAAGUGUAAAUUUUGGCUUCGAGAGGUAGCUUUUCUUGGACAUUUGAUUUCAGAAUCGGGUAUAGCUGUGGAUCCUAAGAAAUUAAAGCAAUUAAGGAUUGGCCGAGACCGACGAGCGUCACGGAGAUACCGAGCUUUCUUGGAUUGGCCGGGUACUACCGGAGAUUUGUUGAGGGGUUCGCCAAGCUGUCUACUCCCCUCACGAGGCUCACGCAUAAAGGAGUCAAGUUUGUUUGGAAUGAGGCGUGCGAGAGAAGCUUCCAAGAGUUGAAGCAAAGAUUAAAGACCGCCCCGAUCCUAACCCUGCCGGUUGCUGGAGCAGGGUAUGUGGUUUAUAGUGAUGCUUCAUUUAAUGGAUUGGGUUAGUUUUGAUGCAGGAUGGCAAGGUGAUCGCGUAUGCUUCACACCAAUUAAAGGAAUAUGAAAAGAACUAUUCGACGCACGAUUUGGAGUUGGCGGCCGUAGUUUUCGCAUUGAAGUUAUGGCGUCACUACUUAUAUGGCGAGCGGUAUAAAGUGUACACGGAUCACAAGAGUUUGAAGUACUUGUUCACUCAGAAGGAGUUGAACUUGAGACAGCGCAGAUGGUUGGAGCUGCUCAAAGAUUAUGAUCUGACUAUUCUUUACCACCCGGGCAAGACUAACGUGGUGGCGGAUGCUCUAAGUAGGAAAUCUACAGAAAACUUAGCGAUGCAUGUUGUUACUCAACCGCAGUUGAUCGAGCAGAUGAAGUGAUUGGAGUUGGAGGUGGUGACUCCAGACACGCCUUUGAGGUUGAUGACUUUGGUGGUGCAACCUACACUUGUGGAUAGAAUUAAAAAGAAGCAAGCUUCCGAUACGGAGUUGCAAAAGAUUAGAGAUAAAAUGGUUAAUGGUUGCUCCGACGACUUCCUUGUGGAUGAUCAAGGAUUGAUGCGUUUUCGCGGACGGUUAUGUGUUCCAGCGGAUGCAGGAAUCAAAGAGGACAUUCUUCAAGAAGCACGCCGAGAACUGUAUGCUAUACAUCCGGGUGGCACCAACAUGUAUAAGGACUUAAAGUUGCUCUAUUGGUGGCUCGAGAUGAAAAAAGAUGUUGGCGAGUUUGUAGCUCGUUGUCCAACUUGCCAACAAGUAAAGACUGAGUAUCGACUACCUGCGGGAAAACUUCAGAGUUUGCCUAUUGUGGAAGUGGGAGAAGAUCACCAUGGACUUUGUGACCGGAUUGCCUCGCUCCCAGGCUGGGCAUGAUGCUAUUUGGGUAAUCGUGGAUAGGUUGACGAAGUCGGCGCACUUCAUACCUAUUCAUACUACUUGGACUGGGGAGAAGCUCGCACAAAUGUACCUUGAUGAGAUUGUGCGGCUUCAUGGAGUGCCUCCGUCGAUUGUAUCGGAUCUAGAUACCCAGUUUGUGUCUCACUUUUGGAAGAGUCUACAGGAUGCCCUAGGCACUCGACUGGACUUUAGCACUGCUUUCCACCCUCAGAGUGAUGGGUAGUCGGAGCGCACCAUACAGACUUUAGAGGAUAUGCUCCGAGCAUGUGUGAUUGUGUCACGCCCCGGAUGUCUCGUUCCCCGGGCACGCCGACAAAUCCGCCGUAUACAAAGGAAUUUUCCCUGUAUACGAAGCGACAGCUGUACCUGUAAAUCAUACAAUACUACAAACAGUAGUAUAGAGCUGCUAAAGUAAACAGAAGCUAAACAAACUGAGUUUCACAUACAUAGUCCAAAAUCCAAAAUACAGAGCUACUCGCACUGGCGAGUUAAGUAUACUAUGUACAUGAACCCGAAAACCAAAACGUCUACCUGCAGUAGGGGUGCCUCUAGCUCUGCUCGUCGGGUAGGGCUCUAACUCGCGACGCCCUUGCCUCGAUCCGUCUCGGAGAGUGCAUCAGCCGAAACCUGGGGCUCUGCAAAACAGGGGUAACAACAGGGCGUGAGAACUACUGUAAAAACAGGUAGUCCUCAGUGGGUGCCGCCCUAAACAACAUCGGUCCACCCACUAAGUCUACAGAAGGGAGCCAGGAUAGUAGUAAAUGCAGGAAUGAAAUCUACCGCUAUGAAUCACUACACUAUCAUGCUCUACACUAACCAACUGUAGGAAAUGUCAAAUCUGACCCAAUCCAAUCGGGACUGUAAGCAUACCCGUCCCUGGGACUGUGAACACACCCGUCCCUGCCCAGUUGUGACAAUCAGCUACCUCCACACUACUGGUCCGUGGAGAGCAAGUCCAACCGGCAUGAGCGACACCAACGCAAAAGCACUAAGCCCGCCUCCGGAGUGGCACUCGUGGGAGCUACCCAACCGAGUAUGCAGCGUGUCUCUGUCGAGCUCAAACAGGCUCUAACAAGCCAAAGUCAAGUAACCGACUCAUACUGGUCUAACAACCAACUAGUAACGUGCCCUCGGCACAAUCUGACGCCAAAACGGCGAACCGGGUCCACCGUCAACCCCGACGGCACCCAACAGUCUGGAACAGCCUGAACGCUACUAUAAAAAUACACUCGGCAUCCCAGCACGAGUGUAACUGAAAUCUAAACUACCUGGAAUACUCACUAUGAUGAUACUGAAACCGUAUAAAAUCAUACCACGGUCCCUAGGGCUAAAUCAGGUAGUUAACAUAUGCCGAUCGUUAUCGCGUUUUCUCCUAAGUCAAAUCCAAGUCCAACAUGUAUAUUCAUAUUUAUUAAUCAUGUUCUUAAAUCGUAUUUAUCCAAGAUAUAAUCAAUGAGAUAGAGCUACACAUGAUUUAUACAACUACAAAUCAUACAUGUCGACUAAUGCUAUACUUAGGAAUAAACCGAUGUAACCCACCUAGCUCGCUAAUCCCUGGCAGCACGGAACUGCCCUCGGCUGCGGAACAACCUGCCGAAACGUCCGAAAACCUCCCAAGGCCCGAAGUCAAGCUCCCGCCAAACUCUACACGGAGAAUCCGACAAUAAGCAUUAUUUCUGCCUCAAAAACAGCAACAGAGAAGAGCGAAAUUCCGACCUAGCAAACCUUUAUCAAAUCCAGCAAGUAAGGACUUCGUGGAUUCCUCUCGAAGUCCCGAAUCCAACAAACCAAGUCCCGUCGAAAACCGACGCUCCUACGCCGAGUACGAACUGAAAUACCGACGGUCGACGCUGGAAAUUCUGCAAAUCAGCACCAAGCUCGAAUGGAUAAUACUUGAAGCAGUGCAACGGAACACUCACCUCAAAGGCUAAUCGGACAUCGACGCGGCGUCGAGAACGACGAAAACGCAUCCUCGCCUAGUUUCCUCGCAACGCUACGAUCCCAACCGUACCCUCGAACGGCUUCGCGGCGCGUCGUCGGCGUCGAACUCGUGCUCGCGACUACCUCCUCCGAGCUCUUUGCUUCGGUUGAACAAAGAGAGAAGUAGAAAGAUUAGGCAAUGCCCACCUAAUUUGUUGAUAAGCAUGCAAAGGGUGCACGCGGCAUCCAAGCCACCCUACUUUGCAUGCAUGGGUGGACGUGGCAUCCAAGCCACCCCACUUAGCACCAACCGACAUAAAACAUAAAUAAGUUAAUUAAUUAAUAAAUAAAACAAGGAUACUACAUCCUCCCCCACUACAAAAAGUUUCGUCCUCGAAACUUAAACAUACCUCAACACGAAGUAACGAACAGGUCGGGGCAGGACUCUCUCAUCACCGUCUCAGGCUCCCAAGUCGCCUCCCGCUCCUCGUGAUUGCUCCACUACACUUUCACAUACGGGAUGACCCGAUUGCGCAAUUCUUUCGUCUCCCGAGCAAGAAUCCGCAACGGUCGCUCCUCGUAUCUCAGAUCCUCGCCGAUCUCAAGUGGAGUGAAGUUGAUCACGUGAGAGAGAUCGAAAACAUAUCUCCUCAAUGCUGAGAUGUGAAAAACAUCGUGUAUGCCAGCAAGUCGCGGGGGUAGAGCUAUCCUGUAAGCAACCGGUCCAAUACGCUCCAAUACCUCGAAAGGGCCAACAAACCGUGGACUGAGCUUUCCACGUACUCCAAAUCAGCGAAUCCUUCUAGACGGCGAGACUUUAAGGAAAACAUGAUCUCCAACAUGAAACUCUAAGUCUCGUCUCCUGGUAUCGGCGUAGCUCCUCUGGCGGCUCUGGGCGGUCAAAAGGUGUCAUCGAACGACUCUCACCUUUUCCUUAGCCUCAAGUAAGAUCUCCGGUCCAAAUGUCCUCCUCUCACCCACAUCACUCCAAAACAGAGGGGAUCGACAUCUGCGUCCAUACAACGCCUCAAACGGAGCCAUCUGGAUGCUCGCUUGAUAGCUGUUGUUGUACGCAAACUCAACCAGUCUCACAUGUCGAUACCACCCUCCUCCAAAAUCCAGGACGCAUGCCCUCAGCAUGUCCUCUAGAGUCUGAAUGGUCCGCUCUGACUGACCAUCUGUAUGUGGGUGGAAUGCCGUCUGAAGGCUCCUCCAAAACUGGGAUACAAACCUCGGGUCUCUGUCUGACACAAUCGAUACUGGCAUGCCGUGCAGCCUAACGAUCUCAUCCAGGUAUAGCUGCGCGAGUCUCUCUUUGGACCAGAUAGUCUGAACCGGUAGGAAGUGAGCAGACUUGGUCAGUCUGUCCAUUAUAACCCAAAUCGCGUCAUAGCCACCCUGUGCUCUAGGCAAACUAAUGACGAAAUCCAUCGUGAUAUACUCCCAUUUCCACUCUGGCACUGGUAGACUCUGAAGCUUGCCAGCAGGCACCUGAUGCUCGGCUUUCACCUGUUGNNNNNNNNNNNNNNNNNNNNNNNNNNNNNNNNNNNNNNNNNNNNNNNNNNNNNNNNNNNNNNNNNNNNNNNNNNNNNNNNNNNNNNNNNNNNNNNNNNNNCGGUCUCACCACCAGGGACCGGUUGCCUCAGGACUUCCUGGCAGGCUACGCGUACGGGGACCGGUCUCUCCUUCAGGGACCGGUCCCCGAGAGCAAAAAAUCUGGGACUUAGCCGGAUUUUCAAAUUACUCUCUCGGGUCCCAUCUAGCCUCACUUAUGGACUCUAACACGCUUAGGGCCCACCCAAACUCGUUCAAUUCCGCGUUCCGCUCAUUUUGACGGAACCCGGCACGAUUUAUAAGGGACGUGGUAUGUUACAACAAAGAAGUCCAAACAAUCACUACAUAUAUGCUAACUCCUUCAAUUCAAGGACCUAGACAUGAAUCGCACUAUGGGACCAUUGAAAUUGUGAACAGCAAAUUUCAAAGGAUUGAACAAAAAAUAUACAACAAAUAUAGCAAAUUUCAACUCGAAUUUCUACCCAGCUUAUUUUGCUUUAAACUAUUGCCUCAAACCGAUAGGUAUGAUGGUGUCGACAUGAACAAUCACAAUUCAAUAUUUAGUUAACACAAUUUCUCCUUCUGUGGCAACAAUAUUAGUUUAUUAGUUUAUCAUUAAAAAAGAUUUUUCUUUCUUACCGCAUGAAAACAUAAAUAAAUUAUCUGAAAUUCCCAAGCAAUUUAAAUUGUGCCUCAAUUAUUCAUGGUAUAAAAAGUUGCAUUAAUUUCAACCGUACACUUUCCUUUUUCAAAUAGACCUAAAUAUCUAUACAAAUACAUUAAAGGACGAACCCUGGGCGAACCCUCAACCCUUUCCAUAGUUUUUCCGUGAUUUCAGGAGUGGGUCCCUCCUACUACCAUGUAUUCCCCCCUCUUUCUGUAAUGCACUGGAUCUUGCAAAUCGCAAGAUUCGAGUGUUUGAUCUGUGUGGGGAGCCUUUCCACAGUUUUUGGAGGGUCGUUGAUAGUGUUCCGACCCCUGGCACGCACCCCGAGGAUGUUGGAGUGAGACUUGGCACCAAAAUCCCAAAACUGGAAUUUUUGGUCAGCUCUCGGGUAGCCUGCAGCAGAGCUUGUACCGGAACAAGACUGGUCUUGUACCGGUACAAGGUUGAUGGUUGUACCGGUACAGCCAUCGGGCUUGUACCGGUACAGAGCCGCAGACCCCGCGACCUGAGCCUCGGGUUUGCAUUUUCGUGGGCCUUGUACCGGUACAAGAGCCCGUGUACCGGUACAAGGAGGCAGUUUUCGUGCAGUUUGGUCUGCAGGGGUGUUUUUGCUAUUGUAGCACUUCUAUAAGUGCACCCCACGCCCCUUAGGGCCUCCCCUGUGCAGAGACCAGCAGGAGUUGAGGUAGGAGGAGCUCUCUCUCCCUUCCUUUGCAUUUUUACUCCUUCUGCUUGGUUUUUAUUGGGUUUUCUCUCCUCUAUUUGCAUCUUGGUGGCUUCUCCACCAUUGUUGAUGGCUUAGAGCUUGGAGAGGAGCUAGUGGCUGCGGAGAUCUUCAACAUCACUUGGAUUGGAGCUAAGUUUGGAGCUUCGUGAGAGGUUAGAGACUUGAUUUUUUCCUUUGAUCCUUGAUUUGAGGUUUUUGUGAGAUGAAACCCUAGAAUGAGGUUUUAGGGCUUAAUUUGGGCAAUUUGAAUCUAGGGCUUUUGAAGCUAGUUUGAGUGGAUUAGAGGCUUCCAUUUGGUUGGAUUGGAAGGACUCUAGCUCUCUUUUGGAGCUUUAGAGGACAUUUUUGCACUAAAUGUGAGUUUUUCUCACCUAUACUUGAUUAGCUUAAUGAUUGAGCUAGGUAUUGUUCGUUUGGCUCGUAUGACACAUGUUUCUAUACCUCUAGGGUACUAGGAGACUAGAGGACACCCUCGUUGGAGCGAACGAGGAGUUUCGUCGUCAUCGGUGGGUUUGGCUUCGUGGAAAUGGGGCGAAAUGGCCCCUAUGCUCUUUCUACUUGUUGUAAAAUAUUUUUAAGUUCAUUUCUAUGCUAAAUGAAAUUUAUAUGAAUUUUAGAACACUUAAAAUGCAUGCCUUAUGUAUUAUGAAAAUUCCACUAUAUAGUAGAGCUAUAUGAGUAGAAUGCAUGCAUACGGGAAAAGUGUUUAAUUUUGCAAGUGGAAAAUACAUCUCUUAUGAGGAUUAUGACUUAGAACAUAUACUUUGGAACAUAGUUGCCAUACUUUGACAUAGAGAGUAAGAGUGGCAUCAAGGGGCACUUGAAACUAGCAAACUGUUAAACUGUAACAUAGAGACAUAUUGAUAGGCCACUACGUAUCUGUUAUAUUCCAUGUUAGAGACAUGAUGACAUAGAGAUAGACUAUUGAGAUACUUGAUAUAUUCCAUGUUAUUAGACAUGAGGACUUGGUACUUGAGACAUAUCAUUGCUUGCUUGCCAUCGUGCUCAUUUGCACAUGCUUAUGAGGGUCGCUCCCUACAAGCCGGCACUCCGGAGAUAGCCAUCGCGACAUAUGCUCGCCCGUACGGGAUUGGGCGCCGAAGUGGAUUUCCGUGGGGGAGGCUCAUCCCUAGAAUGGGGAUGUUGACUACCACGGGGCCAUUAGGCACGGCGCAGGCCAGACAGCCUUCGGGUGGGUCUUAUAUGAUUGGGACUUGGUGACAGAACAUGCUAUGUGAACUUUAUAACUGUUAAAGUGGACUUGGACUAGAAUAGUAAACAAUGACAUCUUUACUAUUACAUUGUGGACUGUGGGUAGUUGCAUAAUCAUGCUUUAUAUGUUGGGUGUUCAUGUGCAUAUAGCUAGUAGUUGCUUCCUUACUUAUGUAAAUUAUGCUAAGUAGAGGUAUCAUGAUUAUUGGGUACUCGUUUAUUUAUUUGCUUACAGCGCAUUUAUCGCUUUUGUUAUAUUGUACACUGACCCUUUUUCUAUAGUUCGGGCCUAGUGGUGCAUUUCACUGAAGUCAGUAAUUGCCCACUGGGAACUAUUAUUUAAUAGUUCUCACGCCCCUGUUUCUAUGUUUCCUUUUUAGAGCCUUCGGCACCGGCGGAAGCACGGGACUACGGCAAGGGUGUCGCGUAGCUAGCUCGCGGAGAGUUCUUUUGCGCUAGGUGGUUACUCCUCCAUUUUAUAUUUUGAGAGAGAGGGAGAGGUUUUGUACCAUGUAUAGAAAGACCACCUUGUACUUCUUUUAGCACUUGUUAUGGGAUCCCUAUUGUACUUACUUUAUAUUUUUAUUUAGUGGACUUUCAGCUUUAUGUCCUUUUCUUGUUAUAGAACUAGUUAUACAAUGCUCUGAUGUCACUAGACCUCUUGUAUUAUGGUUUUAUCUAUCGAAAUUUUUGUAGACGCCUUAUAUGUUUUAGACGUAUGGCGGGUCUGGACACGCACCGGGUAGGCUUCCGCUGAGCCCCGGGGCGUGACAGAUUAAUUUGGUACCAGAGCCUAGGGUUGAGUCUUAGGGGACCUAGUAAACCUUAGGCCGGUUGGACUAUAGGAAAUAGGCUCGUGAGAGACGAGGUCUAUUCGACUUGUAAGCGAAAGUAUCUAGAUUGGGUAUCUUGAAUAACUCUAGAAAGUGGAGUUAAAUUGAAGUGUAUAACUCCUAACUUCGCGGAGGGUUACGUUGGCGGCCGACAACGUAACAUCGGGAGUUAGUUGUGGAUAACACUUCCUUACUUUCGCAUGAUUUGGGGUUUGUCUUUGAGCGGGGAUGCGACAGCGUGAGUAUUUCUAACUUGCGCUUUUAUGAUGCUGUAGUGACGAUGCCGAUUACUCGCUCCCAAUCUGCCAGGGCGGACAAUGCGGCAAACUUCGAGGAGGUCGAGACCUCCGCUACCUCCGGAUCCAGCGAGGUCCGUGAGUUGAGGGGCCAACUGGCAGCCCUCACCGACUUGGUCACUCAGCAGGCAGAGGCGGCCCGACAGCAGACCGAGGCGGCGCGCCGACAGGAGACGCGAAUGAAGCGUCUGGAGGACCUACUAUUGCAGCAGGCGGCAGCUUCUAGGGAGACUCAGGCCCCUACACCGCCAUUACCAGUUGUGGACGUUGCACCGAGAGCGCCGUCCCCCGCGCCCAGUUCUUCGCGUGCGGCGCCUGCGACCGCACCCCAGGAGGAGGCUUUGGCGGCACCACCUGUGCAGAGGCCUCCGGUUGGAGCUGCUUUUCCUACCUUGGUUGAGGGGGCGGAGCGAGACAGACUGAUGGAGCGCCUCAAUGAGUUCAGGAGGUGCAGCCCCCGAGUCUUCGAUGGCGAGAAGGUCGACCACUGGAUCGUGGAGAAGUGGUUGAUGCAUAUGGAGAAGCUCUUCCGCGACACCUUCGUGGAGGAAAGGGAUAGAGUUUGGCUCGCCACUCACCACUUGGACGGCGAGGCCUACCGCUGGUGGUUGAAUUUUCAGGAGCACCCCAGCACUGACUUGGCAUCUAUCACAUGGACGAGGUUCAAGGAGCUUCUUCUGGCGCACUACUUUCCGACUAGCGUCAAGAGAAAGAUGGAGCAGGAUUUGCGCAGCUUGCGCCAGGGUGACAGGAUUGUAGCCGAGUACGAGAGGGAGUUUUCUCGGCUUCUGCAUUGCGUGCCCUUCGUCGUGCGGGACGACGAGGAUAAGGCCCGCAUCUUCGAGCGAGGGUUGCGACCGUCGAUUUUCCGGUUUGUGCAGUCCUCUAACCUCCAAACCUACCGGGAGGUGGUGGAUCGCGCGCUCAUUGUGGAGAGCGGCGCGGCAGAGGUCCAGGAGCAGCGAGAGGCUAGGGACAAGGGUAAGGCCAAGAGGCCUGCGGCUGAGGGUGCGAGCCAGACGCACUCCAGGAGGCCGCCGAAGCAUCCGAGGAGCCAGCAGCGUGGGCGUGGCUCGGCGACUCACCGAGGAGGUUCUGAUCGACGCCGACCUCCCCAAUGCGUGAUCUGUGGUGGUCCCCACAUUCCACCGCAGUGCCCGCAGCGGGGAGGGAGAUGUUUCCAGUGUGGCCAGGAGGGCCACUUUCGGACCGAGUGCCCAAGGGGAUCUUCACCGGCACCGUCGACUGCAUCGGCACCGGCUCUCCCAGCCGCCAGCCAGGGGACUCCAUCGGCACAAUACCAGCCUGGGCGGCCACCCGUCAAGCGCCAGAACGAGGGAUCUCGACAGGCCCCGAGUGGGCGCAUGUACGCCGCUCAGACCGAGGAGGCGGCAGCAGCCGAGGAUGUGGUUGCAGGUAUCAUUUUACUUGAUGGCAUUAGAGUUCGUGCUUUAUUCGAUACCGGUGCAUCGCAUUCAUUUAUAGAUCGGUUGUUUGCCGAGUUGCAUGGCAUCCCUUUGGUUUCUUUGUUGCAUACGGGACAUGUUGUUGUACCCGACACAUUUUGGAUAUUAGAGAGUAUAGCCCCGGUUGCCCUAUUCGGGUAGGAGAUUGGAUCAUGCCUAUAGAUUUGCUAGCUUUGCUCAAGCUGGGAGAUUUUGAUGUGGUCUUGGGCAUGGAUUGGUUGACCAAGUAUUAUGCCACGAUUGAUUGCAAGAAUCGCACGGUUACUUUUAGAGAACCUGGGCAGACUGAGGUGGUAUUUAGUGGAUGCCGAAGUUCGCUGUUUGCAAUGACGAUCAGCUCGUCUCGAGCUAGGCAGCUGAUUAGCAGAGGUAGCGUAGCCUAUUUGGCUAGUGUUGUGCUGAGGGGCGAGGAUGACACCCCUAAAAUCGAGGAUAUCCCGGUGGUGCGGGAGUUCCAGGAUGUGUUUCCAGCUGAGCUACCGGGUAUGCUUCCUGAUAGGGAGAUUGAGUUUGUGGUAGAUCUCGUCCCUGGGACUACCCCAAUCUCAAAGGCACCCUAUAGGAUGGCACCGGCAGAGCUGAGGGAGCUGAGGGCACAGCUGCAGGAUUUGUUGGACAAGGGCUUCAUUCGACCGAGCGUGUCACCUUGGGGAGCACCAGUUUUGUUCGUCAAGAAAAAGGACGGAUCACUUCGCCUUUGCGUGGAUUAUCGUGAACUUAAUAAAGUCACGAUCAAGAACAAGUAUCCGUUGCCGAGGAUCGACGACUUGUUUGAUCAGCUUCAGGGAUCGCGUGUGUAUUCCAAGAUAGACUUACAGUCGGGAUACCACCAAUUGAAGAUCAAACCCGAGGAUGUGUCGAAGACGGCUUUUAGAACACAGUAUGGACAUUAUGAGUUCACAGUUAUGCCGUUCGGGCUUACUAAUGCCCCGGCAGCUUUUAUGGAUCUAAUGAAUCGUGUUUUCAAGCCUUAUCUAGACAGGUUCGUCGUGGUGUUCAUCGACGAUAUUUUGGUCUACUCUCGAAGUGAUGCAGAUCACGAGGAGCAUUUGAGGAUUGUACUCCAAGUACUCCGGGAAAAGGAGCUUUAUGCCAAGUUGAAGAAAUGUGAAUUUUGGCUUCGAGAGGUAGCUUUUCUUGGACAUUUGAUUU
RNAcentral lists this long non-coding RNA (12798 nucleotides) under Ananas comosus (pineapple). RNAcentral describes it as "long non-coding RNA (ACOM_LNC001181)". The record is from RNAcentral. Lineage: Eukaryota; Viridiplantae; Streptophyta; Magnoliopsida; Poales; Bromeliaceae.